GAAAUGAUCAUCCUUGUUCUAUUUAUUCAUUGUAUCUUAAUUCAUAAACAUCGGCGAGCAGCGGGUCCACCCAAGACAGGUCAUCAAAAUUAAUCAUUUCAAUCUGAUUUCAGUUUUGUUUUUUGCGUUGGACGGAGAAAGUCCAGCUUUUACAGACUGAAGCAGCUCUGAUCUGAUGGUUUAACUUCUGGAUAUUAUUUGCUGUAUUUCAUGUUUGGGUUUGAUGCCGGAGUGUUUCCUCUGACGCUGACGGCUCAGCCGGGCGAUUCCUCCACAGUUUGUUUACAGUUCAGUUUGAUUUUAAAGAAUUUGCCUUUAAUCUCCAUACAGUAACCCCCAGCAGGAGGAAACUCCCCUGACACUUCACGCUGCACCAGCCUCCUCCAGAUCUCUCACAGCCACUCAUCUGUUUCCCACCCUACUUUCAUCUGAGUUUCACACCUGCUGAUCAUGCCGUAUUUUCAGGCGUGGCUUCAGAGGGUUGAGGUUCUGAAACGUUCAGCAGAGUUUAUCGUCUGUUUCUGCUCAGACUGAAGAGGAAACCUGAAGAAACGUUCAUGAGAGAUUAUUCAGCCAGUUAACAAUGAGAAAAGAUUUAUUAGUUUUCAUGUUUGAUCUCAUUAAAACAAACUUCAAAGCA
Molecule: long non-coding RNA, 640 nt
Organism: Poecilia latipinna (sailfin molly)
Lineage: Eukaryota; Metazoa; Chordata; Actinopteri; Cyprinodontiformes; Poeciliidae
Exons: 3
Source: RefSeq, a predicted model, not a curated record